Molecule: ribosomal RNA, 332 nt
Filed under: uncultured bacterium
Lineage: Bacteria
Description: bacterial SSU rRNA
Rfam family: Bacterial small subunit ribosomal RNA
Source: RNAcentral
AUUGAACGCUGGCGGCAUGCCUUACACAUGCAAGUCGAACGGCAGCACGGGAGCAAUCCUGGUGGCGAGUGGCGAACGGGUGAGUAAUAUAUCGGAACGUGCCCAGUCGUGGGGGAUAACGUAGCGAAAGCUACGCUAAUACCGCAUACGAUCUAUGGAUGAAAGCGGGGGGAUCGCAAGACCUCGCGCGAUUGGAGCGGCCGAUAUCAGAUUAGGUAGUUGGUGAGGUAAAGGCUCGCCAAGCCGACGAUCUGUAGCUGGUCUGAGAGGACGACCAGCCACACUGGGACUGAGACACGGCCCAGACUCCUACGGGAGGCAGCAGUGGGGAA